This 399-nucleotide unclassified non-coding RNA is filed under the name uncultured fungus. RNAcentral describes it as "partial contains 5.8S ribosomal RNA, internal transcribed spacer 2, and large subunit ribosomal RNA". Lineage: Eukaryota; Fungi. The record is from RNAcentral.
AACGCACAUUGCGCCCUUUGGCAUUCCGGAGGGCAUGCCUGUUUGAGAACCCUGACGUACCUCGCUACCCCCCACAUCUUUCUUGCUCACGCGAGACUGCGCGGGGUGAAUGCGGAUUUGGGCCCUUCCUCUCAAAACCUCUUGGGGUGUGGGGUGGCCAGAAAUCAAAGAUCGGCCUUUCGGCGGGAGUCCAGCCUUCCACCUCUGUCCAUAACCAAGACGUGUUAGUAUGGGAAACCAUUACGGCGUCGAUGACCUUGGAAAGUGGAAUCUUUAGCGCUGACGCUCGCCCACUGGACGACUCAACCAUCAACCAGUCAGGCGCUCUGUCCUUUGGAUAGGGUGUAGACCUGAACAACAACCGGUCUCAAAUCAGGCAAGACCACCCGCUGAACUUAA